UGGCUCAGAUUGAACGCUGGCGGCAUGCUUUACACAUGCAAGUCGAACGGUAACAGGCCUUUCGGGGUGCUGACGAGUGGCGAACGGGUGAGUAAUGCAUCGGAACGUACCUGGGAGUGGGGGAUAACCUAUCGAAAGGUAGGCUAAUACCGCAUAUUCUCUGAGGAGGAAAGUGGGGGACCUUCGGGCCUCACGCUUCUGGAGCGGCCGAUGUCCGAUUAGCUAGUAGGUGGGGUAAAGGCCCACCUAGGCGACGAUCGGUAGCUGGUCUGAGAGGAUGAUCAGCCACACUGGGACUGAGACACGGCCCAGACGCCUACGGGAGGCAGCAGUGGGGAAUUUUGGACAAUGGGGGCAACCCUGAUCCAGCCAUGCCGCGUGAGUGAAGAAGGCCUUCGGGUUGUAAAGCUCUUUCGGCCGGGAAGAAAUCGCCUCGGUGAAUAAUCGAGGUGGAUGACGGUACCGGAAGAAGAAGCACCGGCUAACUACGUGCCAGCAGCCGCGGUA
This 507-nucleotide ribosomal RNA is filed under the name uncultured bacterium. RNAcentral's name for it is "bacterial SSU rRNA". It matches the Rfam family "Bacterial small subunit ribosomal RNA", at positions 20 to 522 of the family's 1533-position model. The record is from RNAcentral.